RNAcentral lists this ribosomal RNA (467 nucleotides) under uncultured bacterium. RNAcentral's name for it is "partial 16S ribosomal RNA". It matches the Rfam family "Bacterial small subunit ribosomal RNA", at positions 28 to 507 of the family's 1533-position model. The record is from RNAcentral.
GACGAACGCUGGCGGCGUGCUUAACACAUGCAAGUCGAACGGAAAGGCCUCUUUCGGGGGGUACUCGAGUGGCGAACGGGUGAGUAACACGUGAGUAACCUGCCCUUGACUGUGGGAUAACUUCAGGAAACUGGGGCUAAUACCGGAUAGGAGCUCCUGCUGCAUGGUGGGGGUUGGAAAGCUUCGGCGGUUGGGGGUGGACUCGCGGCUUAUCAGCUUGUUGGUGGAGUAGUGGCUUACCAAGGCUUUGACUGGUAGCCGGCCUGAGAGGGUGACCGGCCACAAUGAGACUUAGAUACGGCCCAGACUCCUGCCGGAGGCAGAAGUGGGGAAUAUUGCACAAUGGGUGGAAGCCUGAUGCAGCAACGCCGUGUGCGGGAUGACGGCCUUCGAGUUGUGAACCGCUUUCGCUCAUGACGAAGCUUUGUGUGACGGUAGUGGGUAAAGAAGCACCGGCUAACUACGUG